GGUUCGAUGGCGUAGUUGGUUAUCGCAUCUGUCUAACACUCCUGGGCCCACAGAAGGUCCCCGGUUCGAGCCCGGGUCGAAUCA
Molecule: transfer RNA, 84 nt
Filed under: Lentinula edodes (shiitake mushroom)
Lineage: Eukaryota; Fungi; Basidiomycota; Agaricomycetes; Agaricales; Omphalotaceae
Description: tRNA-Val
Source: RNAcentral